GCGGGGAUGACCGCCGGCUUCGUUGGAAGCGGGAGGAAAGUCCGGGCGCCACAGGGCAGGGUGCAGGCUAACGGCCUGUCAGGGUAACCUGAAGGAAAGUGCCACAGAGAAUAGACCGCUUCGACUUCGGUCGGAGUAAGGGUGAAACGGUGCGGUCAGAGCGCACCGCGCUCCGGGAGAUCGGAGCGGCACGGUAAACCCCACUCGGCGCAAGGAAGGAUCGACGGCGAAGGCGGCCCGCCUCAUCGGUCCGAUAGAACCGCUGGCGUCUGUAGGUAACUACAGUCCUGGAUGAAUGGUCAUCAAAACAGAACCCGGCUUAUACCGCGAC
Molecule: RNase P RNA, 331 nt
Filed under: marine eukaryotic metagenome
Description: Bacterial RNase P class A
Rfam family: Bacterial RNase P class A
About the family: Ribonuclease P (RNase P) is a ubiquitous endoribonuclease, found in archaea, bacteria and eukarya as well as chloroplasts and mitochondria. Its best characterised activity is the generation of mature 5'-ends of tRNAs by cleaving the 5'-leader elements of precursor-tRNAs. Cellular RNase Ps are ribonucleoproteins.
Source: RNAcentral